This 493-nucleotide ribosomal RNA is filed under the name uncultured bacterium. RNAcentral describes it as "partial 16S ribosomal RNA". It matches the Rfam family "Bacterial small subunit ribosomal RNA", at positions 30 to 523 of the family's 1533-position model. The record is from RNAcentral.
AUUGAACGCUGGCGGCAUGCUUUACACAUGCAAGUCGAACGGUAACAGGUUAAGCCGACGUGUGGCGAACGGGUGAGUAAUGCAUCGGAACGUGCCCGGUCGUGGGGGAUAACACUUCGAAAGAAGUGCUAAUACCGCAUACGAUCUGAGGAUGAAAGCGGGGGACCGUAAGGCCUCGCGCGAUCGGAGCGGCCGAUGUCAGAUUAGGUAGUUGGUGGGGUAAAGGCUCAAUAAGCCGACGAUCUGUAGCUGGUCUGAGAGGACGACCAGCCACACUGGGACUUAGUCACGGCCCAGACUCCCACGGGAGGGAGCAGUGGGGAAUUUUGGACAAUGGGCGCAAGCCUGAUCUAGCAAUGCCGCGUGCAGGAAGAAGGCCUUCGGGUUGUAAACUGCUUUUGUACGGAGCGAAAAGGCUCUCUCUAAUACAGGGGGCUCAUGACGGUACCGUAAGAAUAAGCACCGGCUAACUACGUGCCAGCCGCCGCCGUAA